UGGGGAAUUUUGGACAAUGGGCGAAAGCCUGAUCCAGCAAUGCCGCGUGUGUGAAGAAGGCCUUCGGGUUGUAAAGCACUUUUGUCCGGAAAGAAAUCCUUGGCUCUAAUACAGUCGGGGGAUGACGGUACCGGAAGAAUAAGCACCGGCUAACUACGUGCCAGCAGCCGCGGUAAUACGUAGGGUGCAAGCGUUAAUCGGAAUUACUGGGCGUAAAGCGUGCGCAGGCGGUUUGCUAAGACCGAUGUGAAAUCCCCGGGCUCAACCUGGGAACUGCAUUGGUGACUGGCAGGCUAGAGUACGGCAGAGGGGGGUAGAAUUCCACGUGUAGCAAGUGAAAAUGCGUAGAGAUGUGGAGGAAUACCGAUGGCGAAGGCAGCCCCCUGGGCCAAAUACUGACGCUCAUGCACGAAAAGCGUGGGGGAGCAAAACAAGGAUUAGAUACCCCUGGUAGUCCACGCCCUAAAACGAUGUCAACUAGUUGUUGGGGAUUCAUUUCCUUAGUAACGUAGCUAAACGCGUGAAGUUGACCGCCUGGGGAGUACGGUCGCAAGAUUAAAAACUUAAAUGAAUUGACGGGGGUCAUAGCUGUUUCCU
Molecule: ribosomal RNA, 597 nt
Filed under: uncultured bacterium
Lineage: Bacteria
Description: partial 16S ribosomal RNA
Rfam family: Bacterial small subunit ribosomal RNA
Source: RNAcentral